UACGGGGGGGGCAAGCGUUGUUCGGAAUUACUGGGCGUAAAGGGCUCGUAGGCGGCCAACUAAGUCAGACGUGAAAUCCCUCGGCUUAACCGGGGAACUGCAUCUGAUACUGGAGGGCUUGAGUACGGAAGAGGCGAGUGGAAUUCCUGGUGUAGCGGUGAAAUGCGCAGAUAUCAGGAGGAACACCAAUUGCGAAGGCAGCUCGCUGGGACGUUACUGACGCUGAGACGCGAAAGCGUGGGGAGCAAACAGG
Molecule: ribosomal RNA, 253 nt
Filed under: uncultured bacterium
Lineage: Bacteria
Description: partial 16S ribosomal RNA
Rfam family: Bacterial small subunit ribosomal RNA
Source: RNAcentral